GACGAACGCUGGCGGCGUGCUUAACACAUGCAAGUCGAACGGAAAGGCCCUGCUUUUGUGGGGUGCUCGAGUGGCGAACGGGUGAGUACACGUGAGUAACCUGCCCUUGACUUUGGGAUAACUUCAGGAAACUGGGGCUAAUACCGGAUAGGAGCUCCUGCUGCAUGGUGGGGGUUGGAAAGUUUCGGCGGUUGGGGACGGACUCGCGGCUUAUCAGCUUGUUGGUGGGGUAGUGGCUUACCAAGGCUUUGACGGGUAGCCGGCCUGAGAGGGUGACCGGCCACAUUGGGACUGAGAUACGGCCCAGACUCCUACGGGAGGCAGCAGUGGGGAAUAUUGCACAAUGGGCGGAAGCCUGAUGCAGCAACGCCGCGUGCGGGAUGACGGCCUUCGGGUUGUAAACCGCUUUCGCCUGUGACGAAGCGUGAGUGACGGUAAUGGGUAAAGAAGCACCGGCUAACUACGUG
RNAcentral lists this ribosomal RNA (467 nucleotides) under uncultured bacterium. RNAcentral's name for it is "partial 16S ribosomal RNA". It matches the Rfam family "Bacterial small subunit ribosomal RNA", at positions 28 to 507 of the family's 1533-position model. The record is from RNAcentral.